This 324-nucleotide ribosomal RNA is filed under the name uncultured Cercozoa. Its description in RNAcentral is "SSU rRNA". The stretch from base 112 to 324 matches the Rfam family "Eukaryotic small subunit ribosomal RNA", at positions 741 to 955 of the family's 1831-position model. Lineage: Eukaryota; Cercozoa. The record is from RNAcentral.
GAUUUCUGACAGACCGUUGCGGCCCGUGCUCGUUUCGGGCGUGUGUGCCGUGUCGUGUUUGUCAUCCUUCCAGAAAGCUGCGUCUACCAUUUACUUGGCCGGACGUACGCGAUCUGGAUCGAUUACUUUGAAAAAAUUAGAGUGUUUAAAGCAGGCUUUCGCUAUGAAUACAUUAGCAUGGAAUAAUAAUUUAGGACUUCGGUUCUAUUUUGUUGGUUUCUAGGACUGAAGUAAUGAUUGAUAGGGACAGUUGGGGGUGCUAGUAUUCCGCGGCCAGAGGUGAAAUUCUUGGAUUCGCGGAAGACUAACUACUGCGAAAGCAUU